AUUGAACGCUGGCGGCAUGCCUUACACAUGCAAGUCGAACGGCAGCACGGGAGCAAUCCUGGUGGCGAGUGGCGAACGGGUGAGUAAUGUAUCGGAACGUGCCCAGUCGUGGGGGAUAACGUAGCGAAAGCUACGCUAAUACCGCACACGAUCUAUGGAUGAAAGCGGGGGACCGUAAGGCCUCGCGCGAUUGGAGCGGCCGAUAUCAGAUUAGGUAGUUGGUGGGGUAAAGGCCUACCAAGCCGACGAUCUGCAGCUGGUCUGAGAGGACGACCAGCCACACUGGGACUGAGACACGGCCCAGACUCCUACGGGAGGCAGCAGUGGGGAAUUUUGGACAAUGGGCGCAAGCCUGAUCCAGCAAUGCCGCGUGCAGGAUGAAGGCCUUCGGGUUGUAGACUGCUUUUGUACGGAGCGAAAAGGCUCUCUCUAAUACAGGGGGCUCAUGACGGUACCGUAAGAAUAAGCACCGGCUAACUACGUGCCAGCCGCCGCGGUAA
This 500-nucleotide ribosomal RNA is filed under the name uncultured bacterium. Its description in RNAcentral is "partial 16S ribosomal RNA". It matches the Rfam family "Bacterial small subunit ribosomal RNA", at positions 29 to 523 of the family's 1533-position model. The record is from RNAcentral.